CUCCUACGGGACGCAGCAGUAGGGAAUAUUGCUCAAUGGGGGAAACCCUGAAGCAGCAACGCCGCGUGGAGGAUGAAGGUUUUCGGAUUGUAAACUCCUUUUGUUAGAGAAGAUAAUGACGGUAUCUAACGAAUAAGCACCGGCUAACUCCGUGCCAGCAGCCGCGGUAAUACGGAGGGUGCAAGCGUUACUCGCAAUCACUCGGCGUCAAGAGCGCGUAGGCGGGAUAGCAAGUCAGAUGUGAAAUCCUAUGGCUUACCCAUAGAACUCCAUUUGAAACUGUUCUUCUCGAGUAUGG
This 298-nucleotide ribosomal RNA is filed under the name uncultured bacterium. RNAcentral's name for it is "partial 16S ribosomal RNA". It matches the Rfam family "Bacterial small subunit ribosomal RNA", at positions 336 to 651 of the family's 1533-position model. The record is from RNAcentral.